RNAcentral lists this ribosomal RNA (460 nucleotides) under uncultured bacterium. RNAcentral describes it as "partial 16S ribosomal RNA". It matches the Rfam family "Bacterial small subunit ribosomal RNA", at positions 338 to 795 of the family's 1533-position model. The record is from RNAcentral.
CCUACGGGAGGCAGCAGUGAGGAAUAUUGGUCAAUGGACGAGAGUCUGAACCAGCCAAGUAGCGUGAAGGAUGACUGCCCUAUGGGUUGUAAACUUCUUUUAUAUGGGAAUAAAAUGUUCCACGUGUGGGAUUUUGUAUGUAACAUAUGAAUAAGGAUCGGCUAACUCCGUGCCAGCAGCCGCGGUAAUACGGAGGAUCCGAGCGUUAUCCGGAUUUAUUGGGUUUAAAGGGAGCGUAGGUGGAUUGUUAAGUCAGUUGUGAAAGGUUGCGGCUCAACCGUAAAAUUGCAGUUGAAACUGGCAGUCUUGAGUACAGUAGAGGUGGGCGGAAUUCGUGGUGUAGCGGUGAAAUGCUUAGAUAUCACGAAGAACUCCGAUUGCGAAGGCAGCUCACUGGACUGCAACUGACACUGAGGCUCGAAAGUGUGGGUAUCAAACAGGAUUAGAUACCCCAGUAGUC